UACAGAGGGUGCAAGCGUUAAUCGGAAUUACUGGGCGUAAAGCGUGCGCAGGCGGUUCGUUGUGUCGGUGGUGAAAGCCCCGGGCUUAACCUGGGAAUGGCCAUGGAAACUGGCGAACUGGAGUGUGGCAGAGGGGGGUGGAAUUCCGCGUGUAGCAGUGAAAUGCGUAGAGAUGCGGAGGAACACCGAUGGCGAAGGCAGCCCCCUGGGCUAGCACUGACGCUCAGGCACGAAAGCGUGGGGAGCAAACAGG
RNAcentral lists this ribosomal RNA (253 nucleotides) under uncultured bacterium. Its description in RNAcentral is "partial 16S ribosomal RNA". It matches the Rfam family "Bacterial small subunit ribosomal RNA", at positions 524 to 776 of the family's 1533-position model. The record is from RNAcentral.